RNAcentral lists this unclassified non-coding RNA (345 nucleotides) under soil metagenome. RNAcentral's name for it is "partial contains 5.8S ribosomal RNA, internal transcribed spacer 2, and large subunit ribosomal RNA". The stretch from base 1 to 121 matches the Rfam family "5.8S ribosomal RNA", at positions 35 to 154 of the family's 154-position model. The record is from RNAcentral.
GAUGAAGAACGUAGCGAAAUGCGAUAAGUAAUGCGAAUUGCAGAAUUUCCGUGAGUCAUCGAAUCUUUGAACGCACAUUGCGCCCACUGGUAUUCCGGUGGGCAUGCCUGUUCGAGCGUCAUUAUCCUCCCUCAAACCCCGGGUUUGGUGUUGGACCCAAGUUGUGUGAACAACUGGUCUCAAAGACAAUGACGGCGUCCGUGGGACCCUCGGUGCAACGAGCUUUUAGGAGCACGCAUCGAGUUGAAAGGACCUUCCGGGCCGGUCUCCUUUACCAUUUUACAAGGUUGACCUCGGAUCAGGUAGGAAUACCCGCUGAACUUAAGCAUAUCAAUAAGCGGAGGA